CCCUGCAUCAGAGCAUUAAAUAAACAAAAUAGUUACCUCUCAUUUUUUAUUAGUAAGACUCGUUUUCUUUUAUGGCAUGCAGUCGUCAGUCGAGUCCAUGCUUCGCUUCAGUGUUGACGUGUUUAUCACAGGAAGGGGAUAGUCUCCCGGAUAGAUGGACAGUCAUCUCGAACUUUAAGAUACGACACUAGCGGUGUGACUAGCCACUCAUUCUGCUUCAGGUGAUGAAUCAUCAUGAAAAGGUCUAAGGAUUCCCCUGGUGAUAUAAGGAAGUUCUUUUGUGUUCGUCCUAGCAUAGCUCAAAGCCAAAAAAAUGAGGAUGUGGAUACUGCAGGGGAUGAAAAAUCAGAAGGAAACCCAGAUAGGCCUAACCGUCAAUCUGACUCUAACCCCCAACUUACCCAAGCUCCUGAAACCAUCCCUAUAUCUGUACAACCCAGUACAAGUGAUAAUCCUGACAAUGCUGACAUACUAACACCUGUUAAAGAGCAGGUGCAGGAUCUAGCCACAAAGCCAGAAGAGGGACCCACACAGCCGAGACUUAAAGUGUAUCCUAAAUUACAGUCCGGUUCUCAGACCAGGUCUUUCCAAUAUGAGUGGUAUAAAAGGUAUGAGUGGCUGGAAUACUCUGUGACUAAUGACCGAGUUUAUUGUUUUCCAUGUAGACUUUUUGGCGGUAGUGUUGGUCACAAAGAAGUAACAUUCACCAACGAUGGCUUUAGAGUCUGGAAAAAGAUGCAUGAAAAAGCAUUAAAGCAUGGAGAAUCCACGUAUCAUAUAAAUGCAAUGCAAAAGU
Long non-coding RNA from Eriocheir sinensis (Chinese mitten crab), 796 nucleotides. RefSeq lists it as uncharacterized. The transcript is spliced from 3 exons. NCBI's taxonomy places the organism in Eukaryota, Metazoa, Arthropoda, Malacostraca, Decapoda, Varunidae. The record is from RefSeq and is a predicted model, not a curated record.